Populus trichocarpa (black cottonwood) is the source of this 156-nucleotide non-coding RNA. Lineage: Eukaryota; Viridiplantae; Streptophyta; Magnoliopsida; Malpighiales; Salicaceae. The record is from Rfam.
UCUAUAACUCGAGAUAUGGGCUGAAUACUAAACAACAUCUAGGCUAUAUGUCAGAUUCCGACUUCUCCAUUGUUGCUACCAUUUGAACUCGAAAAUGGCACUUUUAAAUAUUGGACUCUUCAUGAAAGUUUUAGGCCUAUGUCUUAGCUUUCCAUA